UGCCUAACCCUAACCCUUUCUAACCCUAAACCCUACCUAACCUAAACCAAGCUAACCCUAAACCCUGCCUAAACCUAACCUUAAAACCCUACAUAGACCUAACCAUAAAUCCCAUCUAACCCUAAAACUCUUCCAACCCUAAACACUAAAAAAUAAUCUCAAAACUGAAAGCUAAAAAAUCCUAAACUCUACCGCUAUGUAAUUUGUUGUUGUGAUAUUCAAAUAACAAAUUACAUAGCGGAAUUCAAAUCUUACAUCAAUUAUUUUAAUUGCCAAAAUAUUUUGAAAGUUGAAUCUUAUGAAUAAAAAAAGUAAAUUAUAUUUUAAUAACGUUAAAUUUUGUUAAAAUAGAAUGAAAAACUAUUAUCAUAAAUAAAUAAAAAAAUUUGAUGAAAUUUGAAAAUCUUCUAAUCAAUAACAAUUAAUUAGUAAUUUUUCAAAAACCCUUAAACUAUUAUAGCAGUAGAAUCUCAAAAAAAAAAAAAUCUCAAACAUUUAUUUGCCAAUAAUCAUCCUUAAAUCUUUGCUCAUUCAAAAAAAUAAUAUUAUUUACAUAAAUUGGAAACAAGUUUUGUUUUUUGACUAGAGACCCAAGUUUAAACUAUACCACUAAAUAUUAAAAUAUUUAAUUGUUCAGGAAUAACAAGUUAUUGUUCUUAAAACAAUAAUCAUCCUUAAAUCUUUACUCAUUCAAAAAAAUAAUAUUCUUUACAUAAAUUGGAAACAAGUUUUAAUUGUUUUAAAAUAUAUAUAUUUAUAUAUUCGAGAGUAGACAAUGCAUAGAUGAUACUAAAUUGAUCGCAAGAAUUCUUUUUGGAAAACACUCUCGAAACCUGUUCUUGGACUCAGCAUGCUGACCCAUUCCGUGGACUGUUCGGGUGAUUUUGGCCGGCGUGGGCUGUCUGUGCAGUAGACACAGGACGUCUGCUGCAAUGUAAAGUCUAAAACGACUCUCGGCAACGGAUAUCUCGGCUCUCGCAUCGAUGAAGAACGUAGCGAAAUGCGAUAUAGUAUAUAUUAUAAUAGAUGAGUUUUUACUCAAUUCUCAGCCUAUCCACCUCAGCAUGUGGAUCCCACUAAAUUUCUAUGUAUUAAAAAAAAAUUAUGUUUAAAACUGUUUAAUAACGAGUAUAGGUUAAUAUCUAAUGGGCUUCAUCAUAAAAAUCAAAGAAAAGACCCAAUUGAAAUCUAUUGUUUUUUUUAGUUUCGUAAGCGUCGUCUUCCUAGGAGAAAAAAAAAUAGGGCUUUCCUCCAUUCCUUCAGACAAAUCUCAAAACACAGAAUGACCUUUUGUAUUUUUAAUUACAACUAUUUUUAUGGAUUUGAGUGAGUAGAUCGAGAGAAACAAUGAUGUAAAUAAAGUUUAUUAAAGUUUAAUGUUAUUAUAAGUAUUGAUAAUCAAUGGAUAUAUAUAUGUGAGAGAGAUUUCAUGAAGUCAAAAGAAAAUAAAAAAUUGUAAGAUGACAAGAAUGAUAUAUAAAAGUUUACCAAAAAAAAAGAAUGAUAUAUAUAUAUGUGGAAGGGAAAACACACAAAGAACAUGCAAAAUUAACGUUACAUAUAUAUGUCUCAUACAAAAAUAAAUGAAGUGAAAAAAGAAAACUAAUAAGUGAAUGUAAAUGUAAUUAAGUGAAAAUAUUCAUUUUUUUCUGAGGUAAAUCAAUCAUACACUUUUAUAUUAUUUUGAAUAUAAUCUCAGAAAAUUAAUUGAAAGAUUUUCCUUACAAAAAUAUAAUUAAUGCAAGUUUAUGUUUAUAUGCUUAGGUAAAUGAAUCAUGCACUUUUAUAUUAUUUUGAUUAUAAUCUUCAAAAAUUAAUUGAAAAAGUUUCUUUAGAAAAAUAUAAUUAACACAAGUUUAUGUUUUUAUGUAGAUUGAUAUGCUUAGGUAAAUGAAUCAUGCACUUUUAUAUUAUUUUGACUAUAAUCUCAGAAAAUUAAUUGAAAGAUUUUCUUACAAAAAUAUAAAUAAUGCAAGUUUAAUUUAUAUGCUUAGGUAAAUGAAUCAUGCACUUUUAUAUUAUUUUGACUAUAAUCUCAUAAAAUUAAUUGAAAGAUUUCCUUACGAAAAUAUAAUUAAUGCAAGUUUGUGUUUAUAUGCUUAGGUAAAUGAACCAUGCACUUUUAUAUUACUUUGACUAUAAUCUCAGAAAAUUAAUUGAAAGAUUUUAUUUACAAAAAUAUAAUUAAUGCAAGUUUAUGUUUAUAUGUGUAUAUAUAUAUAUAUAUAUAUCAAUCUAAAAUAUAAUAGAACUCUCAAACAAUUUAUAAAACAUCCUACAAAAUGAUUCUCUCCAAAAAAUAUAUAUUAAUCGCAUUUGUUUUCACUAUUUUUUUCGCGACGUCAAUUGUUCGCUGCACCGAUAUUGUUUCAGAUUUCGGAGUAAAAAAAGCAUAUAAUCUAUGCUAUGGUCCAUGUGACGACAAAGGAGUGUGUACGCCGUUUUGUUAUACCAAAAAGGGUCCGAUAAGGGGAGACUGUGUUGGUGGCACUUGUUGUUGUGCUGAACAUUUAAUAAAAUAUUAAAUAAUAUCAUUAGAUAUUAUAUCUCGCAUGAAAUGAAAUAAUACUACCAAUAAUACAUUAAAUGCUUUUACAAAAAAAAA
Long non-coding RNA from Brassica napus (rape), 2605 nucleotides. RefSeq lists it as uncharacterized. NCBI's taxonomy places the organism in Eukaryota, Viridiplantae, Streptophyta, Magnoliopsida, Brassicales, Brassicaceae. The record is from RefSeq and is a predicted model, not a curated record. The transcript is spliced from 2 exons.